RNAcentral lists this ribosomal RNA (407 nucleotides) under uncultured bacterium. RNAcentral describes it as "bacterial SSU rRNA". It matches the Rfam family "Bacterial small subunit ribosomal RNA", at positions 355 to 776 of the family's 1533-position model. The record is from RNAcentral.
UAGGGAAUAUUGGGCAAUGGGCGAAAGCCUGACCCAGCAACGCCGCGUGAAGGAAGAAGGUCUUCGGAUUGUAAACUUCUGUUGUGAGGGAAAAAGAAAGUGAUGGUACCUCACGAGGAAGCUACGGCAAACUAUGUGCCAGCAGCCGCGGUAAUACAUAGGUAGCGAGCGUUAUCCGGAAUAACUGGGCGUAAAGGGAGUGUAGGUGGCCGAAUAAGUUAGAUGUGAAAGACCGUAGCUUAACUACGGAAAUGCAUUUAAUACUGUUUGGCUAGAGUGCAAGAGAGGUAAACGGAAUUUCUAGUGUAGCGGUAGAAUGCGUAGAGAUUAGGAAGAACACCAGAGGCGAAAGCGGUUUACUAGAUUGCAACUGACACUGAGGCUCGAAAGCGUGGGGAGCAAACAGG